AGCAGCCGCGGUAAUUCCAGCUCCAAUAGCGUAUAUUAAAGUUGUUGUGGUUAAAAAGCUCGUAGUUGAACCUUGGGCCUGGCUGGCCGGUCCGCCUCACCGCGUGUACUGGUCCGGCCGGGCCUUUCCCUCUGUGGAACCCCAUGCCCUUCACUGGGUGUGGCGGGGAAACAGGACUUUUACUGUGAAAAAAUUAGAGUGCUCCAGGCAGGCCUAUGCUCGAAUACAUUAGCAUGGAAUAAUAGAAUAGGACGUGUGGUUCUAUUUUGUUGGUUUCUAGGACCGCCGUAAUGAUUAAUAGGGACAGUCGGGGGCAUCAGUAUUCAAUUGUCAGAGGUGAAAUUCUUGGAUUUAUUGAAGACUAACUACUGCGAAAGCAUUUGCCAAGGAUGUUUUCAUUAAUCAGGAACGAAAGUUAGGGGAUCGAAGACGAUCAGAUACCGUCGUAGUCUUAACCAUAAACUAUGCCGACUAGGGAUCGGACGGUGCUAUUUUUUGACCCG
RNAcentral lists this ribosomal RNA (503 nucleotides) under uncultured glomeraceous AM fungus. RNAcentral's name for it is "SSU rRNA". It matches the Rfam family "Eukaryotic small subunit ribosomal RNA", at positions 569 to 1078 of the family's 1831-position model. The record is from RNAcentral. Lineage: Eukaryota; Fungi; Glomeromycota; Glomeromycetes; Glomerales; Glomeraceae.